Molecule: ribosomal RNA, 445 nt
Filed under: uncultured bacterium
Lineage: Bacteria
Description: partial 16S ribosomal RNA
Rfam family: Bacterial small subunit ribosomal RNA
Source: RNAcentral
GUGGGGAAUAUUGGGCAAUGGAUGCAAGUCUGACCCAGCCAUCCCGCGUGCCGGAAGAAGGCCCUCAGGGUUGUAAACGGCUUUUGACGGUGAAGAAUCGACAGGAUGCGUCCUGUUUUGACGGUAGCCGUUGAAUAAGCACCGGCUAACUCCGUGCCAGCAGCCGCGGUAAUACGGAGGGUGCGAGCGUUGUCCGGAUUUAUUGGGUUUAAAGGGUGCGUAGGCUGGAAGGUCAGUCAGCGGUGAAAAGCUGUCGCUUAACGAUAGUCUUGCCGCAGAUACUUCCUUUCUUGGAUGAGGAGGAGGCCACUGGAACGGAUGGUGUAGCGGUGAAAUGCAUAGAUAUCAUCCAGAACACCGAUUGCGAAGGCAGGUGGCUGUACCUUAAUCGACGCUGAUGCACGAAAGCAUGGGGAGCAAACAGGAUUAGAAACCCGAGUAGUCC